GCUGUGAACAGAACGGAAACAGAGAAGGAAAAGAAGAGAGAGAAGAGAAGAGAGGAGGAGAAGAGUACAGCAGCUGCGGUUUUGGGGCUGUCCACACCUAGGAUGGUGGAACCAGUGCUGAGGUAGGAUUGGAUUUCAGCGGCGGUUGUGAGGCUUGUGUCUGCGAGACACUAGGAUGUUGAUGGAGUUCACUUCUGUUAUUUUAGUCAUUCCUUUUUAUAUAAAUAUUUAUGAAAUGUGUAGUAAUUAUAUUGUAACUUGUGGUUGCUUUCAGACAUAGAAUUUGUAUAAUGUAAUUUAUCACUUUAGUACAUCACCAGUAGUAGUUGUAUCAUUUUAUUAGCGGAAUCUGAUUUUAGUUGUGGUCUUA
Molecule: long non-coding RNA, 370 nt
Organism: Macadamia integrifolia
Lineage: Eukaryota; Viridiplantae; Streptophyta; Magnoliopsida; Proteales; Proteaceae
Exons: 2
Source: RefSeq, a predicted model, not a curated record